GACGAACGCUGGCGGCGUGCUUAACACAUGCAAGUCGAACGGAAAGGCCCUGCUUGUGUGGGGUGCUCGAGUGGCGAACGGGUGAGUAACACGUGAGUAACCUGCCCUUGACUUUGGGAUAACUUCAGGAAACUGGGGCUAAUACCGGAUAGGAGCUCCUGCUGCAUGGUGGGGGUUGGAAAGUUUCGGCGGUUGGGGAUGGACUCGGGGCUUAUCAGCUGGUUGGGUGGGUAGUGGCUUACCAAGGCUUUGACGGGUAGCCGGCCUGAGAGGGUGACCGGCGACAUUGGGCCUGCGAUACGGCCCAGACUCCUACGGGAGGCAGCGGGGGGGAAUCUUGCACAAUGGGCGGACGCCUGAUGCAGAAACGCCGCGUGCGUGAUGCCGGCCUUCGGGUUGUAAACCGCUUUCGCCUGUGACGAAGCGUGAGUGACGGUAAUGGGUAAAGAAGCACCGGCUAACUACGUG
Molecule: ribosomal RNA, 468 nt
Filed under: uncultured bacterium
Lineage: Bacteria
Description: partial 16S ribosomal RNA
Rfam family: Bacterial small subunit ribosomal RNA
Source: RNAcentral